This 90-nucleotide transfer RNA is filed under the name Actinomycetota bacterium. RNAcentral describes it as "tRNA-Ser". It matches the Rfam family "tRNA". From Rfam's summary of the family: Transfer RNA (tRNA) molecules are approximately 80 nucleotides in length. Their secondary structure includes four short double-helical elements and three loops (D, anti-codon, and T loops). Further hydrogen bonds mediate the characteristic L-shaped molecular structure. tRNAs have two regions of fundamental functional importance: the anti-codon, which is responsible for specific mRNA codon recognition, and the 3' end, to which the tRNAs corresponding amino acid is attached (by aminoacyl-tRNA synthetases). tRNAs cope with the degeneracy of the genetic code in two manners: having more than one tRNA (with a specific anti-codon) for a particular amino acid; and 'wobble' base-pairing, i.e. permitting non-standard base-pairing at the 3rd anti-codon position. Lineage: Bacteria; Bacillati; Actinomycetota. The record is from RNAcentral.
GGCGGGGUGCCGGAGCGGCCGAACGGGGCGGUCUUGAAAACCGCUAACGGGGCAACUCGUUCGUGGGUUCAAAUCCCACCCCCGCCGCCA